GGCCAGCUAGCUCAGUCGGUUAGAGCGUCGUGCUAAUAACGCGAAGGUCGUAGGUUCGAUCCCUGCGCAGGCCA
This 74-nucleotide transfer RNA is filed under the name Rhipicephalus microplus (southern cattle tick). Its description in RNAcentral is "tRNA-Ile". It matches the Rfam family "tRNA". Rfam says of the family: Transfer RNA (tRNA) molecules are approximately 80 nucleotides in length. Their secondary structure includes four short double-helical elements and three loops (D, anti-codon, and T loops). The record is from Rfam by way of RNAcentral. Lineage: Eukaryota; Metazoa; Arthropoda; Arachnida; Ixodida; Ixodidae.